UAAUGAUGAUUACAUUACUUUUAUUACAGAUGAAAAUGAUGGUGGUGUAAUUUUGUAAAGAUUAAGAUAUUUGGUAUUUUUCUUUCUGUUGUAGUACUUUUUGCAGAAUUCUUGAAUCAGCUAGGGUCAGUGUGUGUUUCAACAGAUUUCCUAGUUGAUUGUUACAGUUGUACUCUGAAAUCAUAAAUGUGUUAAAGCAAGAGAAAUUUAUCAGUUUAGAACAUUGCUCUAAAUAAUUAUGCAUUAUAAUUAUGACUUUAGUGCACAUUAAAAUAUAAUUGGAUUAAAGCUUUGUGUGAUUUGUCUUAAAAAGGUUUUUAUGGAGAGACUGAGUUAUUACACCUGAAUGCUAGUUACAAUUGUCGUUCUUAUCAAUAUUGCUGAGUGUGCUUAUAUACAUUUUGUAUCUGUUUGAUACCUGACUUGUUUUACUUUUUUCAGCGAGAUAUAAUGCUGCAGCAAAAGAUAUGGCAAACAUUUGGGGAUCAGUUCAUUAGUACCAACGCUCUGAUUAUAUUUUCUGGAAGGAGGAACAGACUUCCAUCGGGCAGUCGAGGCUUGUGGACUUCUGUAAACUGUGUACUCCUUCAUUUAUACACUGGAAAAGAAAGGAACACGUUGUGCAUUAACGCACGGUUGCAAACAUUUAUAUUAAUUUUUAUAAACUUUUUGAAAAGCGACAGCAACACCUACUAGCUUGAUUCACGAAACGAGUUACCAGUUAUUUCCACAAGUACUGUAAUGCAAUUCAAAAUAGCAUGAAAUAACCAUGAUCAUAUAUAUUUUGUUGCGCUUAAUGUCGCACCGACACAAUUAUUUCCAGCUUUGAUGGUAGACGAAGACCCCAGGCGACACUCCGAGCAUUGUUUCAUCACGAUAGGGCACCUGGGUAGAACCGCCGAUCUUCCUUUAGCCAGAUAAAUGGCUUCGUCAGACGAAAAAUUCAGCGUCCUGAGUGAGGCCGAGUUAAACUGGAACCCACAUCUAUCAGGGACAAAUGAUUCAAAGUCAGUGACCUUAACCACUUGGCCACAGAGGCGCCUGAAUAUGUAUAUUUACAACAACAUAGACAAUAAAAUGAACUUUUGAAUGUUUGAAAAAUCGGAUUAGAGUUUAUUGAAAAAAAAAUCAAAUUAUCUGAUUAUUUUCCGACUUCACAACUAAACAAUUGAAUUUACUCUAUUGUGAAUAUUGAUGGAAGGAAAAAUAACAUAAUUAUGACGUUUGUUUUUCAGUUACAUUUCAUGCGGUACAAUUUUGCAAAAUGUACGGAAUAUCUGUCGGGUGUGAUCAAGACAAAAUAUCCGGAAAAGGAGUCUGUCACUUGUGAGGCUAUGGCUACUUCCUAUAUAAACGGAUAUAUUCUCAGUAAUAUUUCCGUACUAGCCGACGACUUUGAAAGUCUACCAGAUGCACCAUUUAACCGCCACAAUGUAAAGAAAGGAAAAGUGUGCCUAUGUCAAUACCUAGAACCUAUUAUUCUACGGCGUGAUGUUAAUACAUAAGUCUUACUGGUUUGGAUUGUGUGAUAUGUCAUGUAUUUAUGUCCCUGGUAAC
This is an RNA transcript of Mercenaria mercenaria, 1557 nucleotides long. RefSeq lists it as uncharacterized. The transcript has 4 exons. NCBI's taxonomy places the organism in Eukaryota, Metazoa, Mollusca, Bivalvia, Venerida, Veneridae. The record is from RefSeq and is a predicted model, not a curated record.